GACGAACGCUGGCGGCGUGCUUAACACAUGCAAGUCGAACGGAAAGGCCCUGCUUUUGUGGGGUGCUCGAGUGGCGAACGGGUGAGUAACACGUGAGUAACCUGCCCUUGACUUUGGGAUAACUUCAGGAAACUGGGGCUAAUACCGGAUAGGAGCUCCUGCUGCAUGGUGGGGGUUGGAAAGUUUCGGCGGUUGGGGAUGGACUCGCGGCUUAUCAGCUUGUUGGUGGGGUAGUGGCUUACCAAGGCUUUGACGGGUAGCCGGCCUGAGAGAGUGACCGGCCACAUUGGGACUGAGAUAAGGCCCAGACUCCUACGGGAGGCAGCAGUGGGGAAUAUUGAACAAUGGGCGGAAGCCUGAUGCAGCAACUCCGCGUGCGGGAUGACGGCCUUCGGGUUGUAAACCGCUUUCGCCUGUGACGAAGAGUGAGUGACGGUAAUGGGUAAAGAAGCACCGGAUAACUACGUG
Molecule: ribosomal RNA, 468 nt
Filed under: uncultured bacterium
Lineage: Bacteria
Description: partial 16S ribosomal RNA
Rfam family: Bacterial small subunit ribosomal RNA
Source: RNAcentral